Molecule: long non-coding RNA, 518 nt
Filed under: Hordeum vulgare
Lineage: Eukaryota; Viridiplantae; Streptophyta; Magnoliopsida; Poales; Poaceae
Description: long non-coding RNA (HVUL_LNC005724)
Source: RNAcentral
UUUAAAAAAGUUAACAAAAGAAAAUCCGUACCAAAUGUUUCUGCAACAAAAGGUAUCUUGCAAAAGGUUGUUGCAAUAGCGAGGAAAAAGUCGGGCCGUUAGAUGACCCCUGAUUAAACAGCCAUGGAGACGGCAUAUCUUUUAAAAAGAUCUGCUGCCCAUAGCGUCGCCCAUCUCAAAAACAUCAUAUCAAAAGAAUUCUACGCUGAACCACUAGAAUAAAGUUCUUCCCAUUGCAUUGUACGAGUAUUUAGCUAGUCGAUUACGAUCAUAUAUAUACUGCUCCUAUAUAGGAGUAGUAACUAAAUGGCUAGAAUAUUUUCAAAAAAAGAAAACAAACUGAGAGUGUAAAUGGCUAGAAGGACGUAAAUGGUACGAACGUGGACUGGUCUACAGCUCCAACCUUGGCCAAGUGCUUGGCCAUGAGCUCGACCAGAUCAGGGGGGCAACCCGUCUUCAACUGCUCAAAACCCUCGGUCGCGACCACGGCUACCAGGUUAGCAGGAGAGGAAAUAAAN